Molecule: long non-coding RNA, 497 nt
Filed under: Homo sapiens (human)
Lineage: Eukaryota; Metazoa; Chordata; Mammalia; Primates; Hominidae
Description: HSALNT0333931
Source: RNAcentral
GGGGCCCCCGAGGCCGCUGCCAGCGCUGGCACUGCGGGGCCGGCUCACCAGUUGGUCAUGUCCAGGAAGAAGGCGCAACCGGCAGGAUUGAGCUGGAAGCCGAGCAGCCUCUGGAACUCGGAGAUGAGCACGUCCUUGUCGGUGGUGCCCAGGCAGCUGAACUUCUGCAUCAGCUCCGGGUCCAGGUGAGGAAACUGAAGUCCCGGGAGAGACAGUGGCAAGGUCAAGUAGCAAAGUGCACUCAGCCCUCCCAGCAAGGAGUCUGCCACUCGCGCUUGAAGGACGUGUUUGAAGAGCUGCUUUCCCAGUGGGAUGCUGCCUUAAAGUCUUGAUUCCCUGGCACUCUUUCCUAUUACUACAUUUUAUCGGUGCUGUUUGUGUUAUGCAACGGUAGCAUCGUGUCUCCGGAAGAUAAAAAAGGUCUCGAUACAAACAUCCAUAACCUUCCACCCACUCCGUCAGGAACAACCCAAUCAAAAUAAAGUCAUGAGAAUUUA